AUCAUUAGCCAAUCACCAAAGUGG
This 24-nucleotide non-coding RNA is filed under the name Arabidopsis thaliana (thale cress). The record is from RNAcentral. Lineage: Eukaryota; Viridiplantae; Streptophyta; Magnoliopsida; Brassicales; Brassicaceae.